This is a long non-coding RNA of Photinus pyralis (common eastern firefly), 293 nucleotides long. RefSeq lists it as uncharacterized. The record is from RefSeq and is a predicted model, not a curated record. Lineage: Eukaryota; Metazoa; Arthropoda; Insecta; Coleoptera; Lampyridae. The transcript is spliced from 2 exons.
GCUUCAUUGGAAAUUAACAACCGGCCGAAAGUGCAUCCGCCUCGUCUUAAAUACUUGUAAUAAUACUUUGUAAUGAGUGGUAUCUACAGUGUACUAAUGGGUACGAAGAUAAUUAUUAUCACCAUUGCGUUGCUGAUUAUGCUUAUGGGGGGUGUUGAAUGUUUAUUGGGACAACAUUGCAUCUUUAAGGAGUGCAAGGAUUAUUGCAAUGGAAACAAGUGCUUUAAAGGAAAGUGCAUUAUGAAUGUAUGCUAUUGCGUUGGUUGUAGAUAAACAAAUGAAUUACGCUCAAA